Molecule: small nucleolar RNA, 137 nt
Organism: Polypterus senegalus (gray bichir)
Lineage: Eukaryota; Metazoa; Chordata; Cladistia; Polypteriformes; Polypteridae
Product: small nucleolar RNA SNORA14
Exons: 1
Source: RefSeq, a predicted model, not a curated record
UUGCAUUCUUAAAAACCCCCCUGGAGUUGACAGUAGCUUCUGGGACAAGCAAGAAUGCUAAAGCAAAGAAAACAGAUCUUUCCAAGGUGAAGUCUUGCCUUUUGUUUGCACUUCACCAUUUCAGAUCUUUGACAAAU